Molecule: ribosomal RNA, 465 nt
Filed under: uncultured bacterium
Lineage: Bacteria
Description: partial 16S ribosomal RNA
Rfam family: Bacterial small subunit ribosomal RNA
Source: RNAcentral
GACGAACGCUGGCGGCGUGCUUAACACAUGCAAGUCGAACGGAAAGGCCCCUUUGGGGGUACUCGAGUGGCGAACGGGUGAGUAACACGUGAGUAACCUGCCCUUGACUUCGUGAUAACUUCAGGAAACUGGGGCUAAUACCGGAUAGGAAUCCUUGCUGCAUGGUGGGGGUUGGAAAGCUUCGGCGGUUUUGGAUGGACUCGCGGCUUAUCAGCUUGUUGGUGGGGUAGUGGCUUACCAAGGCUUUGACGGGUAGCCGGCCUGAGAGGGCGACCGGCCACAUUGGGACUGAGAUACGGCCCAGACUCCUACGGGAGGCAGCAGUGGGGAAUAUUGCACAAUGGGCGGAAGCCUGAUGCAGCAACGCCGCGGGCGGGAUGACGGCCUUCGGGUUGGAAACCGCUUUCAGCAGGGGCGAAGCUUGUGGUGACGGUACCUGCAGAAGAAGCACCGGCUAACUACGUG